Molecule: ribosomal RNA, 497 nt
Filed under: uncultured bacterium
Lineage: Bacteria
Description: partial 16S ribosomal RNA
Rfam family: Bacterial small subunit ribosomal RNA
Source: RNAcentral
GAUGAACGCUGGCGGCGUGCCUAAUACAUGCAAGUCGAGCGAACAGACGAGGAGCUUGCUCCUCUGACGUUAGCGGCGGACGGGUGAGUAACACGUGGAUAACCUACCUAUAAGACUGGGAUAACUUCGGGAAACCGGAGCUAAUACCGGAUAAUAUAUUGAACCGCAUGGUUCAAUAGUGAAGUACGGUUUUUCUGUCACUUAUAGAUGGAUCCGCGCCGCAUUAGCUAGUUGGUAAGGUAACGGCUUACCAAGGCAACGAUGCGUAGCCGACCUGAGAGGGUGAUCGGCGACACUGGAGCUGGAACACGGUCCAGACUCCUACGAGAGGCAGCAGUAGGGAAUCUUACGCAAUGGGCGAAAGCAUGACGGAGCAACGCCGCGUGAGUGAUGAAGGUCUUCGGAGCGUAAAACUCUGUUAUUAGGGAAGAACAAAUGUGUAAGUAACUAUGCACGUCUUGACGGUACCUAAUCAGAAAGCCACGGCUAACUACGUG